AUUCCAGCUCCAAUAGCGAAUACUAAUUCUGCUGCAGUUAAAAAGCUCGUAGUUGAACUUCUGGUAGGACAGAUCCGGCCUUUGGAUGAAUGUCCAUUGUAUGCUGUGUGUCUUGUCUGGCCAUCCUUUAUGUCUUUUAGGCGUAAUCUUUCACUGUAAAAAAAUUAGGGUGUUUCAAGCAAAAGUUAUUUGGAAUAUAUUAGUAUGGGAUGAUAAGAUAGGCUCUUGAGUGCUACUUUGUUGGUUUAUACACUUAGAGAAUGAUUAACAGGGACAGUUGGGGGUAUUCAUAUUUACAUGUCAGAGGUGAAAUUCUUGGAUUUUGAUCAGACGAACUACUGCGAAAGCAUUUAUCAAGGAUGUUUUCAUUG
This 371-nucleotide ribosomal RNA is filed under the name Thraustochytriidae sp. RNAcentral describes it as "Thraustochytriaceae sp. partial small subunit ribosomal RNA". It matches the Rfam family "Eukaryotic small subunit ribosomal RNA", at positions 582 to 975 of the family's 1831-position model. Lineage: Eukaryota; Bigyra; Thraustochytrida; Thraustochytriidae. The record is from RNAcentral.